GAUGAACGCUGGCGGCGUGCCUAAUACAUGCAAGUCGAGCGAACAGAUGAGGAGCUUGCUCCUCUGACGUUAGCGGCGGACGGGUGAGUAACACGUGGAUAACCUACCUAUAAGACUGGGAUAACUUCGGGACACCGGAGCUAAUACCGGAUAAUAUAUUGAACCGCAUGGUUCAAUAGUGAAAGACGGUUUUGCUGUCACUUAUAGAUGGAUCCGCGCCGCAUUAGCUAGUUGGUAAGGUAACGGCGUACCAAGGCAACGAUGCGUAGCCGACCUGAGAGGGUGAUCGGCCACACUGGAACUGAGACACGGUCCAGACUCCUACGGGAGGCAGCAGUAGGGAAUCUUCCGCAAUGGGCGAAAGCCUGACGGAGCAACGCCGCGUGAGUGAUGAAGGUGUUCGGAUCGUAAAACUCUGUUAUUAGGGAAGAACAAAUGUGUAAGUAACUAUGCACGUCUUGACGGUACCUAAUCAGAAAGCCACGGCUAACUACGUG
This 497-nucleotide ribosomal RNA is filed under the name uncultured bacterium. Its description in RNAcentral is "partial 16S ribosomal RNA". It matches the Rfam family "Bacterial small subunit ribosomal RNA", at positions 28 to 507 of the family's 1533-position model. The record is from RNAcentral.